This 387-nucleotide ribosomal RNA is filed under the name uncultured bacterium. RNAcentral's name for it is "bacterial SSU rRNA". It matches the Rfam family "Bacterial small subunit ribosomal RNA", at positions 414 to 796 of the family's 1533-position model. The record is from RNAcentral.
GCCUUCUGGGUUGUAAACUGCUUUUGUCAGGGGAUAAAAAGCUCGUGCGCGAGAAAUUGAAUGUACCUGGCGAAUAAGCCACGGCUAACUACGUGCCAGCAGCCGCGGUAAUACGUAGGGUGCGAGCGUUAAUCGGAAUUACUGGGCGUAAAGCGUGCGCAGGCGGGACAUGCAAGACAGAUGUGAAAUCCCCGGGCUCAACCUGGGAACUGCAUAUGUGACUGUAUGAUUGGAGUACCGGCAGAGGGGGAUGGAAUUCCGCGUGUAGCAGUGAAAUGCGUAGAUAUGCGGAGGAACACCGAUGGCGAAGGCAAUCCCCUGGGCCAGUACUGACGCUCAUGCACGAAAGCGUGGGGAGCAAACAGGNAUUAGAUACCCUGGUAGUCC